UCUGCGGGCGGAUCCCCGGGUCGGGGCGGUGCCUGCGGCCCAGUUCCGGAUGGCGGGGAUGGCGCGGCAGCCGGGCAUGAGGCGUCCGCGCUUGGGCCGGCUGGUGUGGCUGUGCCUGCCCCUGUGCCUGCUGAGCCCCGCGGCGGCGCGCCCGCCCGCCCCGCACCUUGUGCUGGUGCUGGCCGACGACCUGGGCUGGGGCGACGUGGGCUGGCACGGCUCUGCCAUCCGCACGCCGCGGCUGGACGCGCUGGGGGCGGGCGGCGUGCGGCUGGAGCGCUACUACACCCAGCCGCUGUGCACGCCGUCCCGCAGCCAGCUCCUCUCGGGCCGCUACCAGAUCCACACAGGUUUACAACACCAGAUAAUAUGGCCAUGCCAGCCCAGCUGUCUGCCACUGGAUGAGAAACUCCUCCCAGAACUACUUCAAGAAGCGGGAUAUGUUACUCACAUGGUGGGGAAGUGGCAUUUGGGGAUGUACAGAAAAGAAUGCCUUCCAACCCGCAGAGGAUUUGACACUUACUUUGGCUACCUCCUAGGCAGUGAGGAUUAUUAUACUCAUGACCGCUGUGUCCUCAUCAAAGCAAAGAAUGUGACGCGCUGUGCUCUGGACUUCCGAGAUGGAGAAGAAGUUGCAACUGGAUUUAAAAAUGUGUACUCCACAAAUUUAUUCACAGAAAGAGCUAUAGAUCUUAUAGCCAAACACAAAACUGAGAAGCCCCUCUUUCUCUAUCUUGCCUUUCAGUCUGUGCAUGAACCUCUCGAGGUUCCUGAAGAAUACAUGAAACCAUAUUCUUCCAUAAAAGAUGUAAAGAGGCGCCAUUAUGCAGGAAUGGUGACUCUUAUGGAUGAAGCAGUAGGAAAUCUUACUGAUGCUCUGAAAACAUAUGGUCUUUGGGACAACACAGUUUUUGUUUUCUCUACUGAUAAUGGAGGACAAACUUUAGCAGGGGGGAAUAACUGGCCACUGAGAGGGAGAAAAUGGACCCUCUGGGAAGGAGGAGUGAGAGGUGUAGGCUUUGUUGCAAGUCCUUUGUUGAAACAAACAGGUGUAGAAAGUCAUGAACUCAUCCAUAUCUCUGACUGGCUGCCAACGCUGGUGCACCUUGCUGGAGGACAUACCAAUGGCACUAAGCCCUUGGAUGGCUUUGAUGUUUGGAACACUAUCAGCGAAGGAAGACCUUCUCCCAGAGUGGAACUGCUGCAUAACAUAGACCCCAUGUUUGUAGAUGACUUCCCAUGUCUUGGCAUUGACAAGAGAACAUCUUUACCACAGAGCAAUUCUCCUUGGGAUGAUACACUUUUCAAUAUAUCCAUACAUGCAGCAAUAAGACAUGGAAAAUGGAAGUUACUAACUGGAUAUCCAGGCUGCAGCCACUGGUUCCCUCCACCGUCUUUGUUCAAUGAGUCACAGAUUCAAUCGUCUGAUCCAUCAACAAAGAAACUUUGGCUGUUUGAUAUUAUUCAUGAUCCUGAAGAGAAAAAUGAUGUGUCUGAAAAAUACCCUCAUGUGGUGGAAAAACUACUCUCACGGCUUCAGUAUUAUCACAAACGUUCAGUACCUGUGUUCUACCCUGAUGAGGAUCCCAACUGUGAUCCAGCAGUGACUGGGGCUUGGGGUCCUUGGGCAUAAUGCACACAGCUUUGCAUUCUGCAAAAAACCUCUGCAGCAGAGUCUGGUUUACAGAGUCCUAGUCACAUAUUUUGUACUUUCUCUAAUGAGUUAUUGCUAAUUGUGAUCUUAUUCUUGGAAUAAUUCAUUAUUUCUUAUUCUUGGUAUGUUGGGAAUCUAAUUUCAGUCUUUUCCCACUCUCAUUCCCAACAAUUAUAUGUGAAACGUUAGUAAAAUUAUAUAUAUAUUUUUUUAAUGUUCUUUGUCUGGAAUAUACUUCUAGUGCAGAAGAUAAACAUUGCCUCCUUCCUUGAAAGAAACUAAAAGUAAUUGAAUUCCUUGUAAGGAAGGCAACGGGGACAUCCAAAAUUAAUCAGUCUUGUGGAAUAUAGUGAAUUUUGGUUUCACGUUUGUCCAGAAGACAAAAUCUUCUGAAAGCUAUUAUAUAUCUGUAUUGGCAUAAAAAUUUUUGCCUUUAACAUGUACUUCCAUCCAGAAAAGGCAAGAGUGAAAAAGAAAACCUCACAAAUACAACAUAAUCUCUAUUUCUUGCUCACUCUUGAUCUAUCAGACUGGAGUAGAGCGUGAUGAUCAACUGGAGUGCAGGGCUGUCAGAUAGAAGAAUCUUGACAGCCUUAAAAAAUGUGUGAAUAAAUAUUUCAUUAAUUUCAACAAUUGCAGAGUCUGCCACUUGGAGUGCCACAGCUACAUUCAGGAGUGCAUGCUGGGCCAUGACCAAAUGGAAAGCAUUUUCAUGGGGAAAAAAUCUAAGCAUCCUUCUGAACAGUAAUUAGGACAAGAGUUGCCAUUUUCUCUUUAGGUGAAGAAAACCAACCACAUGUUUUUCCACAUAAGUGAGAAUGUAUCCAGCAGCUAGGAGAAGUCUUAAUUCCCUUCUAUCAGUGCUAAAGCAUAACAUCACAUUUUGAGCUUCCCUAUAAAGGAAAAGUAUUGACCAGUUUGAGUUAGUUCAGUGGAGAACUAUGAGUGUGAUCAUGGGGAGGAUAAAGAAAUGGGUUAGUUUAUGCUGGUGAGAAAAAUGGAAGAUGCUGUCUUCAGGUACUAAAUGUGAGAGCACAGAGAAGAGGAAGCCAGACACUUCUCAGAGAUGCACAAAGAUGAAAAGCACACAGGGAACAUGUGGAGUUCCAAUGCAAUAUAAGGAAAGGAAAAGAAAAAAAAUCACACCAUGAGUUUAAUUCAAUAUGGGAAAUGUGAGACUAUGGCAACCUUAAUCCUGGGGAUGUCCAGUGUUUGGCUGGAGAAGAUUCUGAACAAUUCUAUUCCUGAAGCUGGAUCAAAUUUGAAGUUGAUGCAGUUUGCUAGAGUGGUGAGGAGCAACCAGUGACCUCCAAAGGUCCCUUUUUGCAGGAAUUACUCAAUGAUUCUGUGCUGAACAAAACCUUACUUUUAUUACCUGCCAGGUUCUGAAUGCAGAAUAAUUCCACUGAAAACUAUUUUUUGGGGAUAAGAACAUUGCAGAUGAUUCACUACAUGCCUAAAUGUGUAACCUCCUCAUAUUUAUUCAGUUUUUGGAUCUGUGCCUCAAGCCGUGGUUGUCACUUGUUCAAAUUCUGUUACAGACCAUCCACUUCUCUGGUAAUAAAUAUGGUUUCCCCAAGUAUAAGGGUAAAAACACUUGAUUGUUUAUUCUUGUGAAUUACUCCACAUUUCUUCUUUCCCUCUAUUUACAUGAGAAAAGUAAAAUACCUGUAAUUUAAAUUAUCUAAUAGACCCAUGACUUGCAAAAUAAUUAUUCACUGGAUUUUAUUUUUUAUGACUAGACUAUGAAGAAUAAAAUAGUGUUUCCUCUUUAGCUGUUUUUUAAAGAGAGAGUGAUUCACUUAUUAUGUUCAGAUUAGCACUAAUGGAGGUUCAGGGCCACUAUCAGUCUUUAAUUAAUGCGACAGAUGAGAGAUAAAAAGGUGAUCCUUACUUGUUUUAACUGCAUGUACUCUGUCUGUGCAUCCUGAAGACCACUUGGCCUACAAUCACUUAAAAAAAAUACCAUGAUUUGGCUCUGAAUCACAUGUUUUGAUAGAAAUCAGAUAGCCAAAACCACAAGAAUCUUAACUUUUUAGAAAUGGUGACUGUUCCAAAAGCGUGAAUCCAGAAGACUGGCAUACAUACAGUAAGUAGAGGACGCACAUAAAAGCUCCUGAUAUACCUGAUAGCUUUCAGUUUUAUUAAUUUUUCUGCUGUUAGAUCACUGGAAAAACAUGAGCACCUUGCCGUACAGGGCUGGGAUUUUUCGUUUGCUGUUCUAAGGGCAGAAUAUAUACUCUGCAUAUUAACAGUUACUUCAAUCUUAAUUUUUUAUGUCAGAACUUGGUCAGAAACUGCUUCAUGGAACCAUUUCUUCAUGAUCUUGCACCUUUCCUCCUGCAGCACUAGAAGUUACUGUGUACGGUGUCCUGGACAUGCUCUGAAUUCACUGACAGAACAUGAUGCAAUCACUCCGUCGAAACAAAGAGGUGUUUCUUCUUAGUUCACUGCAUUAUACUUAACAAUUUUGUCCUUUAGGAUUUUCUCCAAGUGCUCCAAUUAUUGCAACAAUUCAUAGCGAAAUGUGCCUCUCAGGAAAGAUCAUCAGCUGAAUUAAUUUUGAUGUUAAGAUAUGGCCUGUGCUUACUUGUCAUUCAUUGGCUUUGCAAAUGUACCCACCAAUUUCUUGUGUAACCAUCCCCUGAAUCCCACAUAAGAAAAGGCUAGGAAAAAAAAAAAUCUUAGGAGAAACGGAACCAGUUGAAAUUCGUAAUUUUGUUAAAAUGUACUCACCUAGCAAAACCCCAUCUUUUGAAGAUUUCUGUGGGAUAAUUAGACUGCCUUAUUACUGCAUGGUGCUGCCAUGUAUAUUUUGUGUAUUUAGUAUUGUUUUGUGAACUACUGUUGGUGUGCUGUAUAAUUAUUGAAUCUGGCUAUGAUACCAAGCUCUAAGGUUUAGCCAAGGUACCUCAGUAAGGUCUUAUACACUGAAAUAGCAAUUUAUAUUAUUUCAGGUUUGGAAGUUGGAAUUUUCUUUGUUCAUUACCUCUUUAUGGUUAUUUUGCUGCUGCAGGAAAAGCAUGCGCUAAUAACUAUGUAAUACUGUUGGUCAAAUGUGUGCCUUAUUUUCCUCCAUAAUUAAUUUCUUCCUUUCUAUUUCAUCUUAAGUAGCCAUAUUAUUAUCAUCAUUAACAAUGUUUACUUUUAAUCAGUUGUGGUAUUUUAAUUCUCAGCUCUUACUUAUUUUUCCCUAUUAUUCUCAAUAACUGCAAUGUUCUUGCACUUUCAGUAUCGCCUGAAUCUAAAUGCAAAUAGUUUGUUUCCAAGCUAUUGUUUUGAUUCUGUCUUAUCUGUUCAAAUAAGGAAAGCGUGAAUUCCUAGAAUUA
RNA transcript from Poecile atricapillus (Black-capped chickadee), 4983 nucleotides. It is a transcript of the gene named arylsulfatase B, with no coding region annotated. The record is from RefSeq and is a predicted model, not a curated record. The transcript is spliced from 9 exons. Lineage: Eukaryota; Metazoa; Chordata; Aves; Passeriformes; Paridae.